Molecule: long non-coding RNA, 329 nt
Filed under: Pan troglodytes (chimpanzee)
Lineage: Eukaryota; Metazoa; Chordata; Mammalia; Primates; Hominidae
Description: long non-coding RNA NONPTRT005276
Source: RNAcentral
GGCAACCAUCAGUCUGUGCCCCUUCUAUAUACAUUAUAUUGAUAAUUGACAUGCACAGAGUGACCUGACGCAAUGUGAAAAGCAUUCUCUGUUUUUGAUGCAUAAAGUAGAUUGGAGGAGGCAAGGACAAAUAUAAGAAUAUCAGCCAAGGGAAGAAAUGAUAGUCAAAGGGUGAACAUUGCUGAGUGAGCAAGCUGGAAGCCAUGGACAGGGCAUGGGCUGUUUGUGGAUUUGCUAUUUUGGAGGAGAACAGCUUCUGGUGAAGACAAAAUCCUAGGAUGACAUGGUAAGAAGGCCCUCAUCAGAUGUCAGCCCCUCAGUCUUGGACU